Molecule: transfer RNA, 86 nt
Filed under: bovine gut metagenome
Rfam family: tRNA
About the family: Transfer RNA (tRNA) molecules are approximately 80 nucleotides in length. Their secondary structure includes four short double-helical elements and three loops (D, anti-codon, and T loops).
Source: RNAcentral
GAGAAGUAACCAAGUGGUUGAAGGUAUCGGACUUGAAAUCCGACAGGUCGCGCAAGCGGCGCGAGGGUUCGAAUCCCUCCUUCUCC